GUGGAUUAGAUACCCGGGUAGUCCACGCCCUAAACGAUGUCUACUAGUUGUCGGGUUUUAAUUAACUUGGUAACGCAGCUAACGCGUGAAGUAGACCGCCUGGGGAGUACGGUCGCAAGAUUAAAACUCAAAGGAAUUGACGGGGACCCGCACAAGCGGUGGAUGAUGUGGAUUAAUUCGAUGCAACGCGAAAAACCUUACCUACCCUUGACAUGGAAGGAAUCCUGGAGAGAUCUGGGAGUGCCCGAAAGGGAGCCUUCACACAGGUGCUGCACGGCUGUCGUCAGCU
Molecule: ribosomal RNA, 289 nt
Filed under: uncultured bacterium
Lineage: Bacteria
Description: partial 16S ribosomal RNA
Rfam family: Bacterial small subunit ribosomal RNA
Source: RNAcentral